AGGGGUAUAGCUCGAUGGUGGAGUAUAUGCUUAGCAUGCAUGAGGUCCUGGGUUCAAUCACUAGUACCUCCA
Molecule: transfer RNA, 72 nt
Filed under: Camelus bactrianus (Bactrian camel)
Lineage: Eukaryota; Metazoa; Chordata; Mammalia; Artiodactyla; Camelidae
Also listed under: 3 other names
Rfam family: tRNA
About the family: Transfer RNA (tRNA) molecules are approximately 80 nucleotides in length. Their secondary structure includes four short double-helical elements and three loops (D, anti-codon, and T loops).
Source: Rfam by way of RNAcentral